GUGUAUUAGAUACCCGAGUAGUCCACGCCGUAAACGUUGGGCACUAGGUGUGGGGUUCUAUCGACGGAUUCCGUGCCGUAGCUAACGCAUUAAGUGCCCCGCCUGGGGAGUACGGCCGCAAGGCUAAAACUCAAAGGACUUGACGGGGGCCCGCACAAGCGGCGGAGCAUGUUGCUUAAUUCGAUGCAACGCGAAGAACCUUACCUGGGUUUGACAUGUAGGGAAAAGCCGUAGAGAUACGGUGUCCUUCGGGGUCCUACACAGGUGGUGCAUGGCCGUCGUCAACU
RNAcentral lists this ribosomal RNA (287 nucleotides) under uncultured bacterium. RNAcentral's name for it is "partial 16S ribosomal RNA". It matches the Rfam family "Bacterial small subunit ribosomal RNA", at positions 773 to 1060 of the family's 1533-position model. The record is from RNAcentral.